GCACUGGUAGUUUAGUGGUUAUAAUUUUGCCUUGCCAAGGCAGAGACCCGGGUUCAAAUCCCGGCCAGUGCA
Molecule: transfer RNA, 72 nt
Filed under: Nanobdellota archaeon
Lineage: Archaea; Nanobdellati; Nanobdellota
Description: tRNA-Gly
Rfam family: tRNA
About the family: Transfer RNA (tRNA) molecules are approximately 80 nucleotides in length. Their secondary structure includes four short double-helical elements and three loops (D, anti-codon, and T loops).
Source: RNAcentral